UGUGCCUUGGCAGUCCAGGGCCUACCAAGCGAAGACGCUUAGCUGGUCUGAGAGGAUGAUCAGCCACACUGGGACUGAGACACGGCCCAGACUCCUACGGGAGGCAGCAGUGGGGAAUAUUGGACAAUGGGCGCAAGCCUGAUCCAGCCACGCCGCGUGAGUGAUGAAGGCCUUCGGGUCGUAAAAGCUCUGUGGGGAGGGACGAAACGGCGCCAUGAAGAGUGGCGAUUGACGGUACCUCCUUAGCAAGCACCGGCUAACUUCGUGCCAGCAGCCGCGGUAAUACGAAGGGUGCAAAACGUUGCUCGGAAUCAUUGGGCGUAAAGCGCACGUAGGCGGCUUUCUAAGUCGGAUGUGAAAUCCCUCGGCUUAACCGAGGACGUGCAUCCGAAACUGGGAGGCUUGAGUAUGGAAGAGGGUCGCAGAAUUCCCGGUGUAGAGGUGAAAUUCGUAGAUAUCGGGAGGAAUACCAGUGGCG
This 478-nucleotide ribosomal RNA is filed under the name uncultured bacterium. RNAcentral's name for it is "bacterial SSU rRNA". It matches the Rfam family "Bacterial small subunit ribosomal RNA", at positions 241 to 717 of the family's 1533-position model. The record is from RNAcentral.